GGGCACCCGAGGGUGUAAGCCUGAAUCAUGGAGCUGUUUCCUUGGAUGCAGAAAGCUGGAGCGGCACCUGGUGGAAGGAGCAUUGGUUUGGGGCAGGAAAUCGACACCCAGAAACAGGCGGUGAUGGGCAGCAGGGGCCUCUGUGGCAGAAGGUCUCACGCUACACGGUACUGUCCGGGUCCUUGCACGGGUGUUCUGGAGGUGCAGGGAGGCCUCCCCUCGGUCGUUCAAGGCAGGAAUGGAUCUGCGGCGUGAGGCCGACGGUGACUUGCUUUCUCCCAGCUCCUGGGGCCACAGUGCGUUCAUUCCCCUCCCCUCCCCUCCACUCCCCUCCCCUCCCUUCCCCUCUCCUCCACUCUCCUUUCCUCUCCUUUCCUUUCCUUCUUUUUUUGAGAUGGAGUCUCACUCUGUCACCCAGGCUGGAGUGCAAUGGCGUGAUCUCAGCUCCUUGCAACCUCCAUCUCCUGGGUUCAAGGGAUUCUUCCGCCUCAGCCUCCUGAGUAGCUGGG
Molecule: long non-coding RNA, 509 nt
Filed under: Homo sapiens (human)
Lineage: Eukaryota; Metazoa; Chordata; Mammalia; Primates; Hominidae
Description: HSALNT0254416
Source: RNAcentral